GGGCGUACGCUGGCGGCGUGGCUAAUACAUGCAAGUCGAGCGGACAGAAGGGAGCUUGCUCCCGGAUGUUAGCGGCGGACGGGUGAGUAACACGUGGGUAACCUGCCUGUAAGACUGGGAUAACUCCGGGAAACCGGAGCUAAUACCGGAUAGUUCCUUGAACCGCAUGGUUCAAGGAUGAAAGACGGUUUCGGCUGUCACUUACAGAUGGACCCGCGGCGCAUUAGCUAGUUGGUGGGGUAAUGGCUCACCAAGGCGACGAUGCGUAGCCGACCUGAGAGGGUGAUCGGCCACACUGGGACUGAGACACGGCCCAGACUCCUACGGGAGGCAGCAGUAGGGAAUCUUCCGCAAUGGACGAAAGUCUGACGGAGCAACGCCGCGUGAGUGAUGAAGGUUUUCGGAUCGUAAAGCUCUGUUGUUAGGGAAGAACAAGUGCGAGAGUAACUGCUCGCACCUUGACGGUACCUAACCAGAAAGCCACGGCUAACUACGUGCCAGCAGCCGCGGUAAUACGUAGGUGGCAAGCGUUGUCCGGAAUUAUUGGGCGUAAAGGGCUCGCAGGCGGUUUCUUAAGUCUGAUGUGAAAGCCCCCGGCUCAACCGGGGAGGGUCAUUGGAAACUGGGAAACUUGAGUGCAGAAGAGGAGAGUGGAAUUCCACGUGUAGCGGUGAAAUGCGUAGAGAUGUGGAGGAACACCAGUGGCGAAGGCGACUCUCUGGUCUGUAACUGACGCUGAGGAGCGAAAGCGUGGGGAGCGAACAGGAUUAGAUACCCUGGUAGUCCACGCCGUAAACGAUGAGUGCUAAGUGUUAGGGGGUUUCCGCCCCUUAGUGCUGCAGCUAACGCAUUAAGCACUCCGCCUGGGGAGUACGGUCGCAGACUGAAACUCAAAGGAAUUGACGGGGCCCGCACAAGCGGUGGGAGCAUGUGGUUUAAUUCGAAGCC
RNAcentral lists this ribosomal RNA (948 nucleotides) under Bacillus sp. DQ26(2010). RNAcentral's name for it is "bacterial SSU rRNA". It matches the Rfam family "Bacterial small subunit ribosomal RNA", at positions 27 to 958 of the family's 1533-position model. The record is from RNAcentral. Lineage: Bacteria; Bacillati; Bacillota; Bacilli; Caryophanales; Bacillaceae.